This is an RNA transcript of Ricinus communis (castor bean), 553 nucleotides long. RefSeq lists it as uncharacterized. NCBI's taxonomy places the organism in Eukaryota, Viridiplantae, Streptophyta, Magnoliopsida, Malpighiales, Euphorbiaceae. The transcript is spliced from 5 exons. The record is from RefSeq and is a predicted model, not a curated record.
CGAACAUUGAUCAAUGAUAGGGUCUCACUCGAUAGAGAUAUAAGUGCGGAUGAAUCUUCUCUUGUUUCAUUUACUUCUACACGAUCAGGAAACUGGGGCUACUAAGUUGAUUCUGUUCAGAACCUACUCUGUACUGGUCCAGGUUCUCCAUAUUUUUUUCUUUUAUAAUGGAAGAAUUAUAUGCAUUGAACAGUUUUGUACCUGAAUACAGAGGAAAAAGCUUCAGCUGCUUUGUGCAGUCCAUUCUCCUGGGAAGCUUCAGGUGUUCAGCAAUUCAUUCUCCUAAGCUACUAUAAGAUCUAUUUUGCAUAUGCAAAUCCCCGCAAUUCAGCUGGUUAUGGUAGAUGGAGUCCUCACAAACAACCCAUGAUAGGUUGUCAGAUUUUCUUUUCUUUCUGUUUUCUUGAUUGAUGCCUCUGUUGGGGAUGCUUCUUAAUGAAAUUAUUUAAUUCAAACCAAAUUGUCAUUCAAAUGUAUCCUUGGAUUCUUUAUUAAUGUUCCUUAUUUGUAUCAUAAAUUUAAAGGUUAUAAGGAAAGAAUAAAAUCAAAGAUU